UACGUAGGGGGCUAGCGUUGUCCGGAUUUAUUGGGCGUAAAGGGUGCGUAGGCGGCCGGGUAAGUCUGAUGUGAAAUCCCGCAGCUCAACUGCGGAACUGCAUCGGAUACUCUCCGGCUAGAGGAAUGGAGGGGAGACUGGAAUUCUCGGUGUAGCAGUGAAAUGCGUAGAUAUCGAGAGGAACACCAGUGGCGAAGGCGAGUCUCUGGACAUUUCCUAACGCUGAGGCACGAAAGCCAGGGGAGCAAACGGG
RNAcentral lists this ribosomal RNA (253 nucleotides) under uncultured bacterium. RNAcentral's name for it is "partial 16S ribosomal RNA". It matches the Rfam family "Bacterial small subunit ribosomal RNA", at positions 524 to 776 of the family's 1533-position model. The record is from RNAcentral.